UAGGGAAUAUUACGCAAUGAGCGAAAGCUUGACGCAGCCAUGCCGCGUGAGUGAUGAAGGCCUUCGGGUCGUAAAGCUCUUUUCUGAGGGAAGAAUGGUCGAUGCAGGCAAUGGCAUCGAAUUGACGGUACCUCAGGAAUAAGGAACGGCUAACUCCGUGCCAGCAGCCGCGGUAAUACGGAGGUCCCAAGCGUUGUUCGGAAUUACUGGGCGUAAAGGGAGCGCAGGCGGACAGGUCAGUCUGAAGUGGAAAUCCGGGGCUCAACCUCGGACUUGCUUCGGAUACUGCCUGUCUUGAGUUCGUGAGAGGAAGAUGGAAUUCAGGGUGUAGCGGUGAAAUGCGUAGAUAUCGGGAGGAACGCCAGUGGCGAAGGCGGCUUUCUGGCCCAUCACUGACACUGAGGCGCGAAAGCCGGGGGAGCGAACG
RNAcentral lists this ribosomal RNA (427 nucleotides) under uncultured prokaryote. RNAcentral's name for it is "bacterial SSU rRNA". It matches the Rfam family "Bacterial small subunit ribosomal RNA", at positions 355 to 774 of the family's 1533-position model. The record is from RNAcentral.